This 73-nucleotide transfer RNA is filed under the name Felis catus (domestic cat). It matches the Rfam family "tRNA". From Rfam's summary of the family: Transfer RNA (tRNA) molecules are approximately 80 nucleotides in length. Their secondary structure includes four short double-helical elements and three loops (D, anti-codon, and T loops). Lineage: Eukaryota; Metazoa; Chordata; Mammalia; Carnivora; Felidae. The record is from Rfam by way of RNAcentral. RNAcentral also lists the same sequence under 4 other names.
ACCUGGCUGGCUCAGUCGGUGGAGUAUGUGACUCUUGAUCUUGGGGUCAUGAGUUCAAGCCCCAUGUUGGGUA